Molecule: transfer RNA, 65 nt
Filed under: Onchidella borealis
Lineage: Eukaryota; Metazoa; Mollusca; Gastropoda; Systellommatophora; Onchidiidae
Description: tRNA-Thr
Rfam family: tRNA
About the family: Transfer RNA (tRNA) molecules are approximately 80 nucleotides in length. Their secondary structure includes four short double-helical elements and three loops (D, anti-codon, and T loops).
Source: RNAcentral
CCCUGAAUAGCUUAACAAAAGCAUUGAUUUUGUAAUUCAAAGAUAGAAAAAUACUCUUUCAGGUA